GUUCCAGCACCUGGAUGUCAGAGCUGCUUUCUCUUCCUCUGCACUCCUUAAAUGACAGUUGUGUCACUGAAUGCAGAGUUAAACGUCUUAGGUUUGAGUCCUAACUGAUACUUAGUAGCUGGUAACCUUGGACUUGCCACUUAAUCUUACUUCCCAGCUUCUUCAAAUCAGCAUUUAUGAAGCACUUGUUAUGAGUUUCAAACAAUGGAGCAUGGAUAUUGGAAAGAAGAUAAACAAACAUGAGUAAGCUGUACCUAAAUGAAGUCAGACUAAUGAGAAAAGAUGUGGAGUAAAUAUGUAAAUGAUACGCCCAAACUAAGUGAAGACCAAACAAUGUCAUAUCAUGCUGUUCAAGAGAAGUUUCCAUCGUAUUCCAAUAAGAGAGAUGGAAUUUCACCGUGUUGUCCAGGAUGGUCUUGAACUCUUGUGCUCAAGCAAUCCGCCUGACUUAGCCUCCCAAAGUGCUGAAAUUAUAGGCGUGAACCACUGCACCCAGCC
Long non-coding RNA from Gorilla gorilla gorilla (western lowland gorilla), 498 nucleotides. RefSeq lists it as uncharacterized. The transcript has 3 exons. Lineage: Eukaryota; Metazoa; Chordata; Mammalia; Primates; Hominidae. The record is from RefSeq and is a predicted model, not a curated record.